Molecule: ribosomal RNA, 390 nt
Filed under: uncultured bacterium
Lineage: Bacteria
Description: bacterial SSU rRNA
Rfam family: Bacterial small subunit ribosomal RNA
Source: RNAcentral
GACGAACGCUGGCGGCGUGCUUAACACAUGCAAGUCGAGCGGUAAGGCCCUUUCGGGGGUACACGAGCGGCGAACGGGUGAGUAACACGUGGGUGACCUGCCCUCAGCUCUGGGAUAAGCCUGGGAAACUGGGUCUAAUACUGGAUAUGACUCCACGGUGCAUGUCGUGGGGUGGAAAGCCUUGUGCGGCUGAGGAUGGGCCCGCGGCCUAUCAGCUUGUUGGUGGGGUGANGGGCCUACCAAGGCGACGACGGGUAGCCGGCCUGAGAGGGCGACCGGCCACACUGGGACUGAGACACGGCCCAGACUCCUACGGGAGGCAGCAGUGGGGAAUCUUGCGCAAUGGGCGAAAGCCUGAACGCAGCGACGCCGCGUGAGGGAUGACGGCCU